RNAcentral lists this ribosomal RNA (493 nucleotides) under uncultured bacterium. RNAcentral describes it as "bacterial SSU rRNA". It matches the Rfam family "Bacterial small subunit ribosomal RNA", at positions 18 to 507 of the family's 1533-position model. The record is from RNAcentral.
CAUGGCUCAGAUUGAACGCUGGCGGCAUGCCUUACACAUGCAAGUCGAACGGCAGCACGGGAGCAAUCCUGGUGGCGAGUGGCGAACGGGUGAGUAAUAUAUCGGAACGUGCCCAGUCUGGGGGAUAACGUAGCGAAAGCUACGCUAAUACCGCAUACGAUCUAUGGAUGAAAGCGGGGGAUCGCAAGACCUCGCGCGAUUGGAGCGGCCGAUAUCAGAUUAGGUAGUUGGUGGGGUAAAAGCCUACCAAGCCUUCGAUCUGUAGCUGGUCUGAGAGGACGACCAGCCACACUGGAACUGAGACACGGUCCAGACUCCUACGGGAGGCAGCAGUGGGGAAUUUUGGACAAUGGGCGCAAGCCUGAUCCAGCAAUGCCGCGUGCAGGAUGAAGGCCUUCGGGUUGUAAACUGCUUUUGUACGGAACGAAACGGCUCUUUCUAAUAAAGGGAGCUAAUGACGGUACCGUAAGAAUAAGCACCGGCUAACUACGUG